Cercocebus atys (sooty mangabey) is the source of this 76-nucleotide microRNA precursor. NCBI's taxonomy places the organism in Eukaryota, Metazoa, Chordata, Mammalia, Primates, Cercopithecidae. The record is from Ensembl.
CUUGGGAGGAGGGUGGGGUGGCUCCUUUGCAGUGAGUAGGUCUUCCUGGAGCUACUCCACCAUCUCCCCCAGCCCC